GUGUCAGCAGCCGCGGUAAGACGAACCGUGCGAACGUUAUUCGGAAUCACUGGGCUUAAAGGGCGCGUAGGCGGGCUCGUAAGUCAGGGGUGAAAUCCCACGGCCCAACCGUGGAAGUGCCUUUGAUACUGCGGGCCUCGAGGGGGAUAGGGGCGUGCGGAACUCAGGGUGGAGCGGUGAAAUGCGUAGAUAUCCUGAGGAACACCGGUGGCGAAAGCGGCGCGCUGGAUCCCUUCUGACGCUGAGGCGCGAAAGCCAGGGGAGCAAACGGGAUUAGAUACCCCGGUAGUCCUGGCCCUAAACGUUGGGUACUAGGUAGCGGCCUGUCAUGGGGUCGCUGCCGGAGCAAAAGUGUUAAGUACCCCGCCUGGGGAGUAUGGUCGCAAGGCUGAA
RNAcentral lists this ribosomal RNA (393 nucleotides) under uncultured bacterium. RNAcentral describes it as "bacterial SSU rRNA". It matches the Rfam family "Bacterial small subunit ribosomal RNA", at positions 505 to 898 of the family's 1533-position model. The record is from RNAcentral.